ACGAAACUAGUUCUUCGCAUAAACAACUUUCGCUGCGACUCAAAACAAAUCCGGUCAUAUUUGACGGAGCAGGCGAAUGCCGACUUGUGGAAGAGUCGACAGAGUCAGUUAUGGAGAUACGUUGGUGUAAGUAUAACGACAAGACACCGACGCCGACCAUCGGCCGACUAGUCUGCAGACUGUGACGCGACUGACUUACAGCGAGUCGUCGCAGUGUGACAAGCUUUCGUCACGCCGACAAAACCAGUCUGCCGACCGUCGUCCGUGGCCAGUCGUCGUGAGAUCGGUCGCAGAGCGAAAACAUCGCACUGACAACGCGAUUGCCGAAGCAGCUACGCUUGUAUAUAUGGCUUAAUCGCGCUCAAAAUGAAUGGGAACACGAUUUAGUUGAAAUGCACGAUCUCCGGUAUAUCUCAGCUGGCGGUGAACGCGACGAAACGCGGACGGCGUCGGCAGUAGCUCUGUCUCAUCUUUCAGUGCGUUGCCUCUUUGGUGCUGCUACAAUUUCUUGCAGUGAAUGUGCAAAAUGACCAGAACAUGUAGACGCGGGCCGCAUUCGUAUCCAGCGUCUUCGAGAGUAACUCCUUCAUGAGGUUUUCGUAGCCAGGGUGUCGGAACGAAAUAUUUUUCGCUCUGGUUUUAGUAUCGUUCCACUGAAAAAAGUUCCGUUCCGG
Dermacentor silvarum is the source of this 674-nucleotide long non-coding RNA. RefSeq lists it as uncharacterized. NCBI's taxonomy places the organism in Eukaryota, Metazoa, Arthropoda, Arachnida, Ixodida, Ixodidae. The transcript has 2 exons. The record is from RefSeq and is a predicted model, not a curated record.